Molecule: long non-coding RNA, 332 nt
Organism: Daphnia carinata
Lineage: Eukaryota; Metazoa; Arthropoda; Branchiopoda; Diplostraca; Daphniidae
Exons: 2
Source: RefSeq, a predicted model, not a curated record
GAAGCGAUAAAGCAUAGAAAAAUCGUCUGCACACUCGGUCACGUAAGGAAAUUAAGGAAAAGUUAUCAUUAUGGAAAGAUCAAAUAAGAAACCUGGAAAAAUGCAGUUCAUUAAAAGUUUUUACAACGAUCCCUUCAGAUGGUCGUUGGUGAAGAGUGUGGCUUUGUUCGCCUUGGGAGUCAAGCUAGCACGUGAGUCGAUCGGCGUGGACCUUAUGGCCCCUCAAAUUCAAUAAAAAUAUUAGUGUUCAAACAGUAACAAAUAAAAUAAGCCAACAAAAAUCUGAAAAUUGUUUUUUAAUUGACUAAUCUGUGUUUGAUACACAUGUUGAU